ACGGAAGGCAGCAGUGGGGAAUAUUGCACAAUGGGGGAAACCCUGAUGUAGCAACGCCGCGUGAGUGAAGAAGUAUUUCGGUAUGUAAAGCUCUAUCAGCAGGGAAGAAAAUGACGGUACCUGACUAAGAAGCCCCGGCUAACUACGUGCCAGCAGCCGCGGUAAUACGUAGGGGGCAAGCGUUAUCCGGAUUUACUAGGUGUAAAGGGAGCGUAGACGGCGAAGCAAGUCUGAAGUGAAAGCCCACGGCUCAACCGUGGAACUGCUUUGGAAACUGUUUUGCUAGAGUGCAGGAGGGGCAGGCGGAAUUCCUAGUGUAGCGGUGAAAUGCGUAGAUAUCAGGAGGAACACCGGUGGCGAAGGCGGCCUGCUGGACUGUAACUGACACUGAGGCUCGAAAGCGUGGGGAGCAAACAGGAUUAGAUACCCUAGUA
This 434-nucleotide ribosomal RNA is filed under the name uncultured Clostridium sp. RNAcentral describes it as "partial 16S ribosomal RNA". It matches the Rfam family "Bacterial small subunit ribosomal RNA", at positions 341 to 792 of the family's 1533-position model. Lineage: Bacteria; Bacillati; Bacillota; Clostridia; Eubacteriales; Clostridiaceae. The record is from RNAcentral.